AAAACCCCAUCUCUACUAAAAACACAAAAAUUACCCGGGCGUGGUGGGUGCCCAUAAUCCCAGCUAUUCAGGUGGGUGAGGCAGGAGAAUCACUUGAACCCAGGAGGCAGACACUGCAGUGAGCCAAGAUUGUGACACUGCACUCCAGCCUGGGUGACACAGUGAGACUGUCUCAAAAAAAAAAAAAAUAUUUUUUUUAUUUUUGAGAGACAGGGUUUCGCUGUGUCACCCAGGCUGGUCUUGAUAUCCUGGUCUCAAGCAAUCCUCCCACCUUGGUCUCCCAAACUGCUGGGAUUACAGGUGUGAGCCACCUGCCCGGCCCUGCUUUUUUAAGAGAAAAAAACACAAGUGUCUCUUUUCCUAUGAGGUGUUCUACUGGGAUUGAGGUAUUUCUCUGGAAAGGGCUGGAUCCGAUCUUGCUCUGUGGCAGUCUCCCUGUGUAUGUACAAAAGCUUAGGUAGAGGCACUAAUGUGGGUGAUGGCCCUUUGAACCUGUGCCUAAAACAAUCUACCACAAGGAAUCCUGACUUUGUUGGCACAAGUGGACCGUCAUCUUCUGAAACCAGCUUUUCACUCUACAGUGGACAUUUUGACCGACAAUGAGGUUUGCCCAGCCCACAGGCAUUCCCCUUCCCUUGCUGCUACCAGGGAGACCCAGAUUCUGUCCAGGUGGGGGUUGUGGUGUACUUUGAGAUGGUAUGCCUAAGCAAGGCACAGGAAAUUCUGCUCCCCUCUGCAGGGACUAGUUCAGAGGUGCUGUAUGUUCAACAGCUCCUUAGAGGCUGUCUCUCAGGGACUUCUGGAAAAGAUUUCCCACCACGAUAAAAAGACUGCACAAAAAGAAACCCUGUACUUCCUUGUCAAGUGGGGAUGUGAAAGCUGGAGCUGCUACCAUCAUCUGAUCAUAAGGGGAAGGCCAAAGAAAUCUAGUAAGAAGCUGACCCAGUGCCCUGAUGCUGUGAAGCAAUGAAGUAAUAAUGGCCAGUGUCUGGGGCUUUCAUGUUUCCCACAUAACUGAUGAUGCUGAAGCCACUUUUAGUCAGGUGUUCUGUUAUUAUUCGUAGCUGAAAGGUUCCUGCUACUUCUUCCCUUGAUUUAAAAGGCAGCUCUCUGAGAAGACCAAGAACUGUAUUCCCCACUCCCUGCAAGAGACAACUACUCACCUGAAAAUGGUGUUUAUUAUUCUCUUGCAUGUUUUUAUACUUUUACUACUUGGUUUAAUUAUCGAGAUCAGGGGUCAGCAAACUACAGCUUACAGGCCAAAUCCAUCCUGCCAUCAGUUUUUGUAAAUAAAGUUUUACUGGAACAUAGCUGUGUCAUUCGUUUAAGUAUUGUCUACGGCUGCUUUCACAUCACAAUAGGAGAGCUGAGUGGCUAAAACAGAUACCAUAUGAAUUCUAAAGCCUAAAACAUUUACUAUCUGGCCCUUUAUAGAAAGUCUGCUACG
RNAcentral lists this long non-coding RNA (1447 nucleotides) under Homo sapiens (human). Its description in RNAcentral is "HSALNT0333927". Lineage: Eukaryota; Metazoa; Chordata; Mammalia; Primates; Hominidae. The record is from RNAcentral.